Small nuclear RNA from Marmota marmota marmota (Alpine marmot), 106 nucleotides. The record is from Ensembl. Lineage: Eukaryota; Metazoa; Chordata; Mammalia; Rodentia; Sciuridae.
GUGCAUGCUUCGGCAGCACAUAUACUAAAAUUGAAUGAUACAGAGAAGAUUAGCAUGGCCCCUGUGCAAGGAUGACAUGAAACUUCCUGAAAUGUUCCAUAUUAAA